UUUCUAAUUCUUCCUGGAGGAGCUUGCUAUCUAACCGAUAAUCCGCGUAAUACCUCACCAACUUUUGAAUUAUACAGCUUGUAUACCAUCGUCGUCAGUUUACUUCACAAGAAAUGUAAACAAAAAGAGUCCAACACACUCUCAACGUCAGAUCGAGGUGCAGCUAAUAAGUUGGGGAUAAGUGAGCUACAAUCAUAAAACAAAACUAAACAUCAUGAAUGGAAGACGGGGUGACACUCCAGUCUGAAACAGGAUUCAGCAGUAAUGGGUAAAAGAAAAUACCCAUGAAUAAUUUUAAAGCUCUAGAAUGCGC
RNAcentral lists this ribosomal RNA (313 nucleotides) under Rathbunaster californicus. Its description in RNAcentral is "partial 12S ribosomal RNA". The record is from RNAcentral. Lineage: Eukaryota; Metazoa; Echinodermata; Asteroidea; Forcipulatida; Labidiasteridae.